This 1446-nucleotide ribosomal RNA is filed under the name metagenome. Its description in RNAcentral is "bacterial SSU rRNA". It matches the Rfam family "Bacterial small subunit ribosomal RNA". The record is from RNAcentral.
AGAGUUUGAUCCUGGCUCAGAACGAACGCUAGCGGCAUGCUUAACACAUGCAAGUCGAACGAAGGUAUUUAUACCUUAGUGGCAAACGGGUGAGUAACGCGUGGAAAUCUACCUUUUGGAGGGGGAUAACUGAGGGAAACCUUGGCUAAUACCGCAUAAGCUUGGAAACAAGGAAAGAUUUAUCGCCAAGAGAUGAGUCCGCGUCAGAUUAGGUAGUUGGUAGGGUAAAGGCCUACCAAGCCAACGAUCUGUAGCUGGUCUGAGAGGAUGAUCAGCCACACUGGGACUGAGAUACGGCCCAGACUCCUACGGGAGGCAGCAGUGAGGAAUAUUGGACAAUGGGGGAAACCCUGAUCCAGCAAUGUCGCGUGAAUGAAGAAGGCCUUCGGGUUGUAAAAUUCUUUCGCUCAUGAAGAUAAUGACGGUAAUGAGAGAAGAAGCUCCGGCUAACUCUGUGCCAGCAGCCGCGGUAAUACAGAGGGAGCAAGCGUUGUUCGGAAUGACUGGGCGUAAAGGGUGCGUAGGCGGUUUUUUAAGCAAGGUGUUAAAGCCCCGAGCUCAACUCGGGAAUCGCGCUUUGAACUGGAAGACUAGAGUACGAGAGAGGAAAGUGGAAUUCCUAGUGUAGAGGUGAAAUUCGUAGAUAUUAGGAGGAAUACCAAAAGCGAAGGCAGCUUUCUGGAUCGUCGCUGACGCUGAGGCACGAAAGCGUGGGGAGCAAACAGGAUUAGAUACCCUGGUAGUCCACGCCCUAAACGAUGAGUACUAGACGUUGGGAAGUAAUCCCGGUGUCGCAGCUAACGCGUUAAGUACUCCGCCUGAGGACUACGGUCGCAAGACUAAAACUUAAAGGAAUUGACGGGGACCCGCACAAGCGGUGGAGCAUGUGAUUUAAUUCGAAGAUACGCGAAAAACCUUACCAGCUUUUGACAUGAAGAUUAAGAUUUUUGGAGACAAGAGUCACCAGUUCGGCUGGGUCUUCACAGGUGUUGCAUGGCUGUCGUCAGUUCGUGUCGUGAGAUGUUGGGUUAAGUCCCGCAACGAGCGCAACCCUUAUCCUUAUUUGCUAACAGGUCAAGCUGAGAACUAUAGGGAGACUGCCGGUGAUGAACCGGAGGAAGGCGAGGAUGACGUCAAGUCCUCAUGGCCCUUAUAGGCUGGGCUACACACGUGCUACAAUGGCGGUUACAAAAGGUCGCAAAGGGGAGACCCGGAGCUAAUCCUGGAAAGACCGUCUCAGUUCGGAUUGUUCUCUGCAACUCGAGAGCAUGAAGUUGGAAUCGCUAGUAAUCGUAGAUCAGCACGCUACGGUGAAUACGUUCACGGGUCUUGUACACACCGCCCGUCAAGCCAUGGGAGUUGGUUCUACUUGAAGCCGGUGCGCUAACCGAAAGGAGGCAGCCGUCCAUAGUGGGGUCGAUGACUGGGGUUAAGUCGUACAAGGUA